UAAACGACCUUCCGUGUAAUACCAUUUUUAUUAACCGAGUUAAUGAUUUUGGUAUCAAAAGAGCGAAAGCUCGUUUGAUACUAAAUCUGUCACAAGUUUAAUAAAAAUGGUAUUUCGUGGAAGCGAGUUUAGUAUUCUUUUUAUUACUUUCCAACAUACUUUGAUAGAAACUGCCUACAAAUAUUGUGAUGACUUU
Haliotis rubra (blacklip abalone) is the source of this 196-nucleotide long non-coding RNA. RefSeq lists it as uncharacterized. Lineage: Eukaryota; Metazoa; Mollusca; Gastropoda; Lepetellida; Haliotidae. The record is from RefSeq and is a predicted model, not a curated record. The transcript has 3 exons.